This 58-nucleotide transfer RNA is filed under the name Sparganum proliferum. RNAcentral's name for it is "trnR(acg)". The record is from RNAcentral. Lineage: Eukaryota; Metazoa; Platyhelminthes; Cestoda; Diphyllobothriidea; Diphyllobothriidae.
GGCAUAAAUUAAGUCUAUGUUACGGCCGUAGAAUGGGUGUUAUUUACAUCAUAUGCUU